UUGAGCGAUUUACUUCGGUAAAGAGCGGCGGACGGGUGAGUAACGCGUGGGUAACCUACCCUGUACACACGGAUAACAUACCGAAAGGUAUGCUAAUACGGGAUAAUAUAUUUGAGAGGCAUCUCUUGAAUAUCAAAGGUGAGCCAGUACAGGAUGGACCCGCGUCUGAUUAGCUAGUUGGUAAGGUAACGGCUUACCAAGGCGACGAUCAGUAGCCGACCUGAGAGGGUGAUCGGCCACAUUGGAACUGAGACACGGUCCAAACUCCUACGGGAGGCAGCAGUGGGGAAUAUUGCACAAUGGGCGAAAGCCUGAUGCAGCAACGCCGCGUGAGUGAUGAAGGCCUUCGGGUCGUAAAACUCUGUCCUCAAGGAAGAUAAUGACGGUACUUGAGGAGGAAGCCCCGGCUAACUACGUGCCAGCAGCCGCGGUAAUACGUAGGGGGCUAGCGUUAUCCGGAUUUACUGGGCGUAAAGGGUGCGUAGGCGGUCUUUCAAGUCAGGAGUGAAAGGCUACGGCUCAACCGUAGUAAGCUCUUGAAACUGGGAGACUUGAGUGCAGGAGAGGAGAGUGGAAUUCCUAGUGUAGCGGUGAAAUGCGUAGAUAUUAGGAGGAACACCAGUUGCGAAGGCGGCUCUCUGGACUGUAACUGACGCUGAGGCACGAAAGCGUGGGGAGCAAACAGGAUUAGAUACCCUGGUAGUCCACGCUGUAAACGAUGAGUACUAGGUGUCGGGGGUUACCCCC
This 747-nucleotide ribosomal RNA is filed under the name Clostridioides difficile. RNAcentral's name for it is "bacterial SSU rRNA". It matches the Rfam family "Bacterial small subunit ribosomal RNA", at positions 62 to 841 of the family's 1533-position model. The record is from RNAcentral. Lineage: Bacteria; Bacillati; Bacillota; Clostridia; Peptostreptococcales; Peptostreptococcaceae.